ACAUUAGAGUUUGAUCAUGGCUCAGAUUGAACGCUGGCGGCAUGCUUUACACAUGCAAGUCGAGCGGCAGCGCGGGGGCAACCCUGGCGGCGAGCGGCGAACGGGUGAGUAAUACAUCGGAACGUACCCAGGAGUGGGGGAUAGCCCGGCGAAAGCCGGAUUAAUACCGCAUACGAUCUGUGGAUGAAAGUGGGGGACCUGCAAGGGCCUCACGCUUUUGGAGCGGCCGAUGUCCGAUUAGCUAGUUGGUGGGGUAAAGGCCUACCAAGGCGACGAUCGGUAGCUGGUCUGAGAGGAUGAUCAGCCACACUGGGACUGAGACACGGCCCAGACUCCUACGGGAGGCAGCAGUGGGGAAUUUUGGACAAUGGGGGGAACCCUGAUCCAGCCAUGCCGCGUGCGGGAAGAAGGCCUUCGGGUUGUAAACCGCUUUUGGUCGGAAAGAAAAGGCGCACUCUAAUACGGUGCGUUCUUGACGGUACCGGCAGAAUAAGCACCGGCUAACUACGUGCCAGCAGCCGCGGUAAUACGUAGGGUGCGAGCGUUAAUCGGAAUUACUGGGCGUAAAGAGUGCGUAGGCGGUACU
This 586-nucleotide ribosomal RNA is filed under the name uncultured bacterium. Its description in RNAcentral is "bacterial SSU rRNA". It matches the Rfam family "Bacterial small subunit ribosomal RNA", at positions 1 to 582 of the family's 1533-position model. The record is from RNAcentral.